Molecule: long non-coding RNA, 289 nt
Filed under: Olea europaea (common olive)
Lineage: Eukaryota; Viridiplantae; Streptophyta; Magnoliopsida; Lamiales; Oleaceae
Description: long non-coding RNA (OEUR_LNC011303)
Source: RNAcentral
UAAAAGACAUGAUUGUAUAUACAUACAUAUUCUAUCUACCUCUCUCUUUAUAUGGGGUAAGGCCAGUUAGGUCCUAAUCUACAAUCUUACUCUAUUGCACUGGCCUAAGAAAAGCUGCAACUCCUUCGCUGAAAAAAGGCCAGCCCAUGUCUCCUCCUUCUGUCCCCUCUUUAUCCUUUAUUCUUUUGGGAGAAAUGCUUAGUGUACAGGGCAUUUGUCACAGGGUAUUUACAGGUCUCCUCGCCAUGCAGGGGCUCCAAAUGUAUUUAAAAAAAAGUUACGUGGGCCC